This 273-nucleotide ribosomal RNA is filed under the name uncultured bacterium. RNAcentral describes it as "partial 16S ribosomal RNA". It matches the Rfam family "Bacterial small subunit ribosomal RNA", at positions 524 to 796 of the family's 1533-position model. The record is from RNAcentral.
UACGAAGGGUGCAAGCGUUAAUCGGAAUUACUGGGCGUAAAGCGCGCGUAGGUGGUUCAGCAAGUUGGAUGUGAAAUCCCCGGGCUCAACCUGGGAACUGCAUCCAAAACUACUGAGCUAGAGUACGGUAGAGGGUGGUGGAAGUUCCUGUGUAGCGGUGACAGGCGUAGCUCGAGGAAGGAACACCAGUGGCGAAGGCGACCACCUGGACUGAUACUGACACUGAGGUGCUAAAGCAUGGGGAGCAAACAGUAUUAGAUACCCCCGUAGUCC